This is a long non-coding RNA of Coregonus clupeaformis (lake whitefish), 282 nucleotides long. RefSeq lists it as uncharacterized. The record is from RefSeq and is a predicted model, not a curated record. The transcript is spliced from 3 exons. Lineage: Eukaryota; Metazoa; Chordata; Actinopteri; Salmoniformes; Salmonidae.
UGUGCAGACAUUCACUGUCCCCAUGACAGAAGUGUACCUGCUGUUCUUCCAAGCCACCGUACCAACUUUCACUUCUUUCAACUUGCUGCUUCAGAGAGAGCAGUCAUCAAUAUUUUUGUUACAUGAUGAGAUGGUGAAAUUCGUACGCAAGCUAUGUUCCAAGUUUAUGGUUCCAGCAGCUCUGCAGUGCCAUGAGGAGCCUUGUGAAAUUGCCUUUGAAGAAAAGGCAAACCAUUUACCAGAUUACUCGACGAGGGUGACAUCACACCACAGCAGGUGGAU